AUUGUAAUUUAUAAUGUGUAUUUGGUCAUUCAGAUGACCAAAUUUGUUUCUCAGAUAUAUUUGGUCUUCAUCCACAGUUCCUGACUUACAUUCCCCAAAACCUUGUCCUACCUGUUGAAAGUGAAAAAGGUAUCAUUUGUUGUGUUAAUGAGGUGAUGUUGCAUCUCCGGAAUGAGGCUGGCUGCCUGGAGAACCAACCUGGUGAUUAGAGGGUAGGAAUUUUUAGUUCCACCUCCUGACCCCUGGGGAGGAAAAAGGAGCUGGAUGUUGAAUCAAUAGCCAAUGGCCAAGGAUUUCACCAAUCACACCUUUGUAAUGAAGCCUCCUAAAAAGCCCGAAAGGACAGGGUUCAGAGAUCUUCUGGGUUGGUGAACAAACCCAUGGAGGUGUGGGUGAGUGUACUCCAGGAGAGGCCGUGGAAGCCCCACCCUUGCCCUCACAUCUUGCCCUAUGCAUCUCUUCCAUCUGGCUGUUUCUUAGUUAUUUCCUAAGUAUUCUUUCCUCAGUGCUGAAUACUAAUUUGAGGGGAUAUCUUUGGUUCUUUGCAGAGAAUGGAGGCUGCAGUAUCAACCCCUAGAGAUUUCCACCAGCUUGGGCCCCUGCAUGGUGCUCCUUCAUCUGGUUGAGUCUGCAGUUGCCAAGGGAGUGAUGGGAGAAUUUCUUGAAGAGGCUUCCAUUCAACCCUGCUCAUUUGCUGGGCUGGCUAUGUCUACAUAAUGGAGAAGAUGAGUCCUGACAGCAGCAGAUUUACAUAGUCCUGCAUGCCUUCUAGUAAGUAAAUAAGCCUCUCUCCCAGAUCAUCCAUAUCAAUCUUUGAAAAAUAUUCUGGCUCUGCUUGUAUCACAUGCAUUCUUGGACCAAUCACAAUGUGUGAGGGGGAAUGCAACACUCUCAUUGGCCAGCCUGAGUCACAGGCUGUCUCCCUGUAGGACAGAUGAAGCCCUGUCUUUGACAGCUCUUACUGUUCCCAAAACAUAAGGAGGCUGAGCAGACAAAAAGGUAAGAUGAUUAAAAUGGGCACAAGAAUUACUAACUUAACUAACUUAAUAAAUAGGGCAGUCUCACUUGCUGGGGGCUAAAUGAGGAAUAGAAGCAUAUGGAAAAAAGUUGCUUGCUACCUCAUUAAGCAAGAGAUACAAUGUGUUUAAAAUAGCUCCCUUGAGCACAGCACACUGCUUGAACAAUGAUGAAGAGAUGUAGACCUCUACUACUGGCAUAAUGAUAACUUUCAUCCCAGAAGCAUUUCUUUUUUCCUAGCACGGAAAUCAGGAGUCUCCAUAGUCAUUAUUCUGAAACAAAAAUCAGUUUAGAAGUAAAAAACCAUUACAACUAUCUUAUAGGAGAGAGAGAGAGAGAGAGAGAGAGAGAGAGAGAGAGAGAGAGAGAGAGAGAGAGAGAGAGAAAAUGUCUUCAUCCAAAGUCAAUGCCUAGUAGGGUGAAUAUAGGCAACCUCUAAUUUAGAAACUCUCCUGACAGAAUAGCAUUGAAUGUCUACCUCUGGAUUCUCUCAAGCUGGACAUCCUUCCAGAGCUGCUUUCCCAGGAGACCAUCUUAUCUUUUUCUGACUGGUCAUUACUCAAGGAAUCUUGGAGCAAGAGCUUGAGGUUAGUACUGUAGAUGAACUAGACCAAAGGGUCCUUUCCCUUCUCCCUUCUCCUCCCCUCCAUCCUCCAACCACCUUAGAAACUCAACUCUUAACUGCUCUACCAGCAUCUCCAUUGUACUUUCUCUAUUAUAAAAGUCUUCUUAUUUUGUUGUCCAAAUUUGUCUCUAUGUGCAUCUUUCCCCAUUUUUUCCAGCCCCCAUCAUUGACAAGAGGGCAAAGCCCCCGUUAAUUCAUUUUUGUCUCUACAGCAGUUCUUACUGCCUGGCAUAUAGUAGGUACUCAAAUCUUAGUUUAAUGAAUGAGAGCUUGACCAUUAUUUGUAACGUAGUGAUUCUCUGGUUUGUUAAGAGGCAGCGAGAAUAAAAUUCCAGGAAAUAUUUUCAGAAUUCAAAGAACUAUGGCUAUUCUAAGCUUAAAAUUAAAUAGUCUAAAUAUAUAAUUAUAUAUACUAGAUUGAAUCUCAUACUAUAUUUUGUUAUAGAAAAGUAGUAACAUUAUCACAGGUUUAAGGAAAGUAGUGAGACAUGUAGCUUAAGAUGAGCAUUAAGAGACUUCCUUUGUGGCACGGCAGGUUAAGAUCCAGCAUUGUCGCUACAGUGGCUUGGAUUCAAUUCCUGGCCUAGGAACUUCCAUAUGCCGCAGGCGGGGCCAAAAAAAAAAAAA
Molecule: long non-coding RNA, 2269 nt
Filed under: Sus scrofa (pig)
Lineage: Eukaryota; Metazoa; Chordata; Mammalia; Artiodactyla; Suidae
Description: lncRNA (ENSSSCG00040032633.1)
Source: RNAcentral